AAGGGUCAUGACGUACGAACGGUGUUAUGCACUAUCGGCUAUGUUGAGUUGAUACGUCAGACCCACUGUAAAUAGCUGUCGAUGUAAAUAUUGCGUACAUAAAGUCUUUUCUCUAAAUGCAAACGUCUACGGCGUCCCAUCCCUGAUGGAAGAGGAGAAACGACGACAGCUGAAGAAAAUUUUCUAUAUCAAGUAAGCUGGUUACGCCAGCUUGGAGCACUCUGUGCGACGAGAGUAGGAAGAGGUAGAAAAUUUACUUAAACGUAGCCUAUUUGGUUUUCAUUAAUUUUACACUUUGCUACAAUUAUAUAUUAGUUAUUGAGGUUAUUCAAGCAGACCAUGGAGUCAAAGUACCGCUGCUCAUUGUGGUGGCCUUGUGUGCUCAGGAUAGCACCCUGCCGUCUUCUGCACAAUCCCUGGAUGGGCGUGCUCCAAGCCCCCAGCUUACUCCAACAACUGCUGUGCAGCCCGUCACAGCUCCUGCUGACCAAGCCACUCCACGAGGGCGACGAUAUCCAUCACGCGUUUCUGUUGGAGAUCGACCCGGUACGAGUGGCUUGUCACGGACAAGCCAGCAACAGGAGCGGUGCACACCAUCGCGCAGGCCAGCUGCUGAAGAUUUCCUGCCAGAAAUUGCUGCUGGCUAUAAACAGUCUUUAGACUUGGCAGCUGAAAUCAAAUCUGAAGUGCAGCAGCUUAAAGACGUGGUGGGUGCCGUUGCGACAACCUUUCAGCGAGAGGCAGAGACGAUGCAGGGCCAAUCAGCUGCCCUGCAUCGCCUGGCUGCUGCUACAGAGGCACUGGCUGACUCGCAAGCACGCCAGGCCACUGCACUGGAGCGGAUGGCAGCUGUUCAAGAGAACACACUGGCCAACGAAUCUGCGUACCAG
RNAcentral lists this unclassified non-coding RNA (890 nucleotides) under Dermacentor andersoni. RNAcentral's name for it is "uncharacterized LOC126524373". The record is from RNAcentral. Lineage: Eukaryota; Metazoa; Arthropoda; Arachnida; Ixodida; Ixodidae.